ACGCUCGACACCUACGGGAGGCAGCAGUCGGGAAUAUUGCGCAAUGGAGGAAACUCUGACGCAGUGACGCCGCGUAUGGGAAGAAGGUUUUCGGAUUGUAAACCAUUUUAGACAGGGAAGAAAAAGACAGUACCUGUAAAAUAANCUCCGGCUAACUACGUGCCACAGCCGCGGUAAUCUGAGCGGGCUGGCAAGGC
RNAcentral lists this ribosomal RNA (197 nucleotides) under uncultured bacterium. RNAcentral describes it as "partial 16S ribosomal RNA". It matches the Rfam family "Bacterial small subunit ribosomal RNA", at positions 328 to 539 of the family's 1533-position model. The record is from RNAcentral.